Molecule: ribosomal RNA, 253 nt
Filed under: uncultured bacterium
Lineage: Bacteria
Description: partial 16S ribosomal RNA
Rfam family: Bacterial small subunit ribosomal RNA
Source: RNAcentral
UACGGAGGGUGCAAGCGUUGCUCGGAAUUAUUGGGCGUAAAGGGCAGGUAGGUGGUCUCAUUUGUCUGGGGUGAAAGCCUUGAGCUUAACUCAAGAAGUGCCCCAGAAACGGUGAGACUAGAGUUCUGGAGAGGGUCGUGGAAUUCCCGGUGUAGCGGUGAAAUGCGUAGAGAUCGGGAGGAACACCAGCGGCGAAGGCGGCAUCCUGGACUGGUCCUGACACUCAGGAGCGAAAGCGUGGGGAGCGAUCCGG